CGAUGAAGAACGCAGCGAAAUGCGAUACGUAGUGUGAAUUGCAGAAUUCCGUGAACCAUCGAAUCUUUGAACGCAAAUUGCGCUCGAGGCUUCGGCCAAGAGCAUGUCUGCCUCAGCGUCGGCU
Molecule: ribosomal RNA, 124 nt
Filed under: Trebouxia sp. 9 GS-2016
Lineage: Eukaryota; Viridiplantae; Chlorophyta; Trebouxiophyceae; Trebouxiales; Trebouxiaceae
Description: partial 5.8S ribosomal RNA
Rfam family: 5.8S ribosomal RNA
About the family: 5.8S ribosomal RNA (5.8S rRNA) is a component of the large subunit of the eukaryotic ribosome. It is transcribed by RNA polymerase I as part of the 45S precursor that also contains 18S and 28S rRNA.
Source: RNAcentral